RNAcentral lists this unclassified non-coding RNA (3070 nucleotides) under Leishmania donovani. Its description in RNAcentral is "gene:LdHU3.29.4090(CDS-product:serine/threonine-p rotein_kinase_Nek_putative)". Lineage: Eukaryota; Euglenozoa; Kinetoplastea; Trypanosomatida; Trypanosomatidae. The record is from RNAcentral.
UCCACCCAUUCUACCGUCGUCGCGCGGUUUCUUCUUGCUCAGCGCCGCACAGAAGUUGGCCGCGCAGAGCCACGAGAGAGGGAGAGGCAGCGCGCAGUUGCAAAGCGCUGCGCCACUUGCGAGGGUGCCUCAUCGCGCCACUCCGUCUCCCCCUCAUUUCCUCACCGCACAUCCCUUCGUCGCACACAGCCGACGGUCAACAACUCGCAUCACGUUGGAUGCAAAGGCUGCUGCUCCAUCAUUCGGGUGAUGCUUCGGUAGCGACUCACUUGCUCCGGCAUUUCCAGUGUCUGAUGCGUUUUUCUUUUUCCCUCUGCUCUUCUUGUCUUCCUCGUCUCACUUUCCACUCGUGCUCUCUCUGUGCUUGUAAGUUGCACCAACGUGUGCGUGUGAGCGCGCCUCCUGCCCAUUGGCCCGUGGCCGUUGUGAAAAACGCUCGUUUCCGGUGUUCUGUGUUCCCCCUCUUCGUCCUAUUCGAGGUUUUGCUAUCUUUUUUUUCCUUUGGCCGGUGUAGCCGAGGCGCUUUCCUCUCGCCUUCCUCCCUUCCCCCCCCCGCGAUCGUCCCUCCUGCUUUGUGUGGGAUUCUCUCGCUGCAUCUAUGCCGUUUCGCGUACGCUCCAUAUUGCCUCCCACCAACGAACAGCUUCAUAAACAUCCUCUCUGAUAGUUCCUCCCAAUGUCAGGGGAGGCUGCAGCGGCGGAGCAGCGCAUGCGAGACUAUGAGGUCUUCGAGCAUCUCGGCUCCGGGGCAACAAGCGACGUGUACCGUGUGGUGAACAAGACGAACAACCGCACCUAUGUCCUGAAAAAAAUGUCACUCGCGAACAUGAGCGACGAGGAGCAGCUGCGGGCCAAGCAGGAGAUUAUCGUGAUGGACAACGUAGACCACCCGAACAUCGUCAAGUUUCGGGAGAGCUUCAUGGACCCGGCCGACAACUCCGUCGACAUCAUUAUGGAGUACUGCGAGUUCGGCACCCUCGAGGAUCUCAUUGAACGACAGCGCUACGAGGGUCGCCCCUUUCCAACCGAUGUGUUGCUGGAGUGGAUGGCGGAGCUGCUAUGCGGACUCUCCCACAUCCACUCUAACCGAAUCCUUCACCGCGACCUCAAGACGAGCAACAUUUUUGUAACGUCCAAGAAUCAUUUGAAGCUUGGUGACUUUGGCGUCUGCACGAUCCUGUCGAACCCAAACGCCAAGGCGGAGAGCAUGAUCGGUACCCCUCUCUACUUCGCCCCGGAGGUGUGCAACAGCGACCCCCACGAUGAGAGGAGCGACGUGUGGAGUCUCGGCGUCGUCUUUUACGAGAUGUGCACCCUGCGCCGUCCUUUUGAAGCAGGCAACCUAUUCACACUCAUCCAGCUCAUCCUCGAGUCUGACAUCGAGCCAUUCGGCAACGGCGUGGAUGGCUCGCUGGAGGGGCUUGUGCGGCAGAUGCUGGACAGGGACCCGAGUCGGCGCCCAACAGCGCAGGAGCUCAUUGAUGUGCAUCUGGAAGUCCCUGUGAGCCACCCAUCGCACCCGUCGCAGAAGCCGUCCAGAGGCCGUCUCCUUCAACAGUUCAGCGGCCCAGAGCUGCAAUACACAAAAAAGUGGCCACCCCCUGAGGGGUCCGUGACCGUCCCCCCGAAGAGUGGCAAGGCACGCGCGACAGACGAAUGGAUUCACACUGGCAGUGCGCUGGACGUUUUUGUGGAGCUGCAGCGCACUUUGCACCGUAUCCCGACCGCUGCCAAAGCCAAGGACGGCGCUGCCUUCACUCCAUCGCCACAAUCUGCGCCUGGCGCCACACUCAAAGUAUCCUCUGCAGUUGCAAAGCCGAAGCCGGAGAAGUCAGCCAAGAAAUCGACGGGCGCUAAGGGUACUGCGGGCACUACCACCGCUUCUAGCUCGCUCCCUCGAACAAAGGCCAUAGAGCACGCCGGCGCGCAGAAGGAGGAUGCUGUCUUAGGUACUUCACUGCUCAGCUUUACAAUGCGGGAGCUGCAGCUCGACGUGCAGCGACGCCGCACAUCCAUGUUUGGGGAGGAGAAGUCGCUAAACAGCGACGACAUACCCCUCGUGAUCGAGGUGCAGGGGGAAUCGUUCUCGGAGGCGACAGCAGCAAAAGCCACUGUUUCGUUUCUUGCUGACAUCGCUGCUGUCAUUGAUCGACACACGGCGAACGGGGGACAGAUUGCCUUGGAGGCUUUAGACGGGGCUGCUUGCCUCCUUUCCGAAUACAAGCACCUCAAGUACGCGCGAUGAAGGCCGGCGUGCCGACAGCGGAGUCUCCUCGUCGCGCCACUUCAGGCCCCAUCGUUCUACCUUACUGAGCGGGAGGGGGCCUACAGAUGUCGCAGUGCCACCAACGGCGGAUGCAUAGCGGUGUCUCAUUACUGUCCCGCGCCCUUCUCUUUGUCCUGCUUCUCUUUCAAUCUUGUCAGGGCCCGCCCCGCCCCGGCCACGGUUUUGACACAUCUUCGUUCUAAGAGACACACCUGCACCGUGUCUUCCGUACGCGACUGCCAUUCGGCGCCCAUCCUCUUCUUUUCUUCCUCCCGCUUACCGCCCUGUUCUGGCUUGUGGCACUUUGUUGUUGUUCUCUCUGGCGGGACGUUGUGAAAUUUCUUUCUUGCUGUGCCAGCUGAGGCGGCCGCAGCUGGCGAUGACGUGGGCGUGUGCGCGAGGAUGGAGCGAGUGAGAGGUCUGUGUGUGUGCGUGUUAAUGUAGAGGCAGCCGUGUAUCCUUUUCUACGCCUCCCUGCUUUUUCUUCUUGUCGGUCUCGCUUUCUGCCAUGCGCAUGUCACGGAGCAGAAACGUCGCGAAGUCAAGCGUUGUAAGGUAGGCUGCGAGGUGGGUGAACGGCUUGUCGGUCUUCGUAGUUACGAAGUGUUGAGAUGAUGAGCAAUUUUACGGGUCUCGGUUGCUUGACAAUAGCCCCCUGGAGUCUCCUCGAUCUCCUCCCCUCUGCGCUCUCUCGCUGGGGUGUUUUGGCGUGUACUGAUGUCUCGUGCGCGCCUCGCGCUCUUUGCUAUCCUCCCUUCUCUGCGUGUUCCUCUCUCUAUCCUCCCUUCUCUUGAACGCGCAUAG